CGUUCCGAGGAGCGUUGCGACCUCUCACCGCCAGAGGCCAGGCUCGGAACUGCUGUGUUGUAUCCCCUCACAGCCCAGCAACCGCGCUCACCCGUU
RNAcentral lists this non-coding RNA (96 nucleotides) under Roseateles depolymerans. RNAcentral describes it as "SAH sequence". It matches the Rfam family "SAH (S-adenosyl-L-homocysteine) riboswitch aptamer". Lineage: Bacteria; Pseudomonadati; Pseudomonadota; Betaproteobacteria; Burkholderiales; Sphaerotilaceae. The record is from Rfam by way of RNAcentral.